GUGGGGAAUAUUGGGCAAUGGGCGAAAGCCUGACCCAGCAACGCCGCGUGAAGGAAGAAGGUCUUCGGAUCGUAAACUUCUAUCCUUGGUGAAGAUAAUGACGGUAGCCGAGAAGGAAGCCCCGGCUAACUACGUGCCAGCAGCCGCGGUAAUACGUAGGGGGCAAGCGUUGUCCGGAAUGAUUGGGCGUAAAGGGCGCGUAGGCGGCCCGGUAAGUCUGAAGUGAAAGUCCUGCUUUUAAGGUGGGAAUUGCUUUGGAUACUGUCGGGCUUGAGUGCAGGAGAGGUAAGCGGAAUUCCCGGUGUAGCGGUGAAAUGCGUAGAGAUCGGGAGGAACACCAGUGGCGAAGGCGGCUUACUGGACUGUAACUGACGCUGAGGCGCGAAAGUGUGGGGAGCAAACAGGAUUAGAAACCCCGGUAGUCC
Molecule: ribosomal RNA, 425 nt
Filed under: uncultured bacterium
Lineage: Bacteria
Description: partial 16S ribosomal RNA
Rfam family: Bacterial small subunit ribosomal RNA
Source: RNAcentral